CAAAAUGUAGCCCAAUUAAAGCACCUCGCUUACACCGAGUAGACAUCUGUUCAAUUCAGAUCAUUUUGA
This 69-nucleotide transfer RNA is filed under the name Ptychohyla legleri. RNAcentral's name for it is "tRNA-Val". It matches the Rfam family "tRNA". Rfam says of the family: Transfer RNA (tRNA) molecules are approximately 80 nucleotides in length. Their secondary structure includes four short double-helical elements and three loops (D, anti-codon, and T loops). Lineage: Eukaryota; Metazoa; Chordata; Amphibia; Anura; Hylidae. The record is from RNAcentral.